GCUGCAGUAGGGAAUCUUCGGCAAUGGACGAAAGUCUGACCGAGCAACGCCGCGUGAGUGAAGAAGGUUUUCGGAUCGUAAAACUCUGUUGUUAGAGAAGAACAAGGGUGAGAGUAACUGUUCACCCCUUGACGGUAUCUAACCAGAAAGCCACGGCUAACUACGUGCCAGCAGCCGCGGUAAUACGUAGGUGGCAAGCGUUGUCCGGAUUUAUUGGGCGUAAAGCGAGCGCAGGCGGUUUCUUAAGUCUGAUGUGAAAGCCCCCGGCUCAACCGGGGAGGGUCAUUGGAAACUGGGAGACUUGAGUGCAGAAGAGGAGAGUGGAAUUCCAUGUGUAGCGGUGAAAUGCGUAGAUAUAUGGAGGAACACCAGUGGCGAAGGCGGCUCUCUGGUCUGUAACUGACGCUGAGGCUCGAAAGCGUGGGGAGCAAACAGGAUUAGAUACCCUGGUAGUCCACGCCGUAAACGAUGAGUGCUAAGUGUUGGAGGGUUUCCGCCCUUCAGUGCUGCAGCUAACGCAUAAGCACUCCGCCUGGAUACACCGCCAGGG
RNAcentral lists this ribosomal RNA (550 nucleotides) under Enterococcus mundtii. RNAcentral's name for it is "bacterial SSU rRNA". It matches the Rfam family "Bacterial small subunit ribosomal RNA", at positions 348 to 894 of the family's 1533-position model. The record is from RNAcentral. Lineage: Bacteria; Bacillati; Bacillota; Bacilli; Lactobacillales; Enterococcaceae.